UAUUACCAGAAGCGACGGCAGUGUGAAGGUCAGACUAAUGAUCUUGCCUGACAAGCCGAGAGGUGGUGCAUGGCGAUCGUCAGUUCGUGGUGUGAACUCUCCGGUUAAGUCCGGUAACGAACGAGAUCCUCGUUGACAGUUGCUACUGGUCCUGCGAAGGGCCAGGCACUCUGUCGAGACCGCCUGCGUUUAAGCAGGAGGAAGGAGAGGGCGACGGUACGUCAGUAUGCCCCGAAUCUCCAGGGCUACACGCGGCGUACAGAGGUUGGUACAAUGGGUUGCUACCCAGAAAUGGGACGCUAAUCCCCUAAACCAAUCUAGGUCCGAAUUGAGGGUUGAAACUCACCCUCAUGAAGUUGGAAUCCCUAGUAAUCGCGUGUCACCAACGAGCGGUGAAUACGUCCCU
Molecule: ribosomal RNA, 406 nt
Filed under: uncultured prokaryote
Description: bacterial SSU rRNA
Rfam family: Archaeal small subunit ribosomal RNA
Source: RNAcentral